RNAcentral lists this ribosomal RNA (450 nucleotides) under uncultured bacterium. RNAcentral's name for it is "partial 16S ribosomal RNA". It matches the Rfam family "Bacterial small subunit ribosomal RNA", at positions 354 to 796 of the family's 1533-position model. The record is from RNAcentral.
GUGGGGAAUAUUGGACAAUGGGCGAAAGCCUGAUCCAGCCAUGCCGCGUGUGUGAAGAAGGUCUUCGGAUUGUAAAGCACUUUAAGUUGGGAGGAAGGGCAGUAAGUUAAUACCUUGCUGUUUUGACGUUACCGACAGAAUAAGCACCGGCUAACUUCGUGCCAGAAGCCGCGGUAAUACGAAGGGUGCAAGCGUUAAUCGGAAUUACUGGGCGUAAAGCGCGCGUAGGUGGUUUUGUAAGUUGGAGGUGAAAUCCCCGGGCUCAACCUGGGAACUGCCUCCAAAACUACUGAGCUAGAGUACGGUAGAGGGUAGUGGAAUUUCCUGUGUAGCGGUGAAAUGCGUAGAUAUAGGAAGGAACACCAGUGGCGAAGGCGACUACCUGGACUGAUACUGACACUGAGGUGCGAAAGCGUGGGGAGCAAACAGGAUUAGAAACCCUUGUAGUCC